CCCGUUUUUUUUCUAUUAAAAACAAAAGGACAAAGGGAAAAAAGUAAAUUCAUGAUAUACACCUACAUUGUUAGUAGUACCAUAGACAACUAAAGACUGAAUAACACGAACCCCACCAAAACCAGGGAAUAAUCUCAGGUGCUCUGUAAGGACAAGCAGAUCCUGCUUCACAUGUGAAUUAUCCGAACUGCAGCUGUAUGGAUUUGUUUACCAGUGCUCAAUCUAAUUUUUCAUUAAUAAGUUUAGUCUUCCUUUAUAUGUUAUAAUGUCAAUAAUGAAAAAUAAUAAAGCGUCCAAUAGAAAAAAAAAAUAGAAAUUACUGUAAGGCACUUCUAGAAUUUAUCUUUCUAUUUUUCUAAGUUCUUUCUUUGUGCAAUAAACUAAAAUAUUGUUGAUAUUACAGAAAUUGGUGUUUUGUUGUUUGAAACCCUUUCAGCAGCAAUUCUCUAAUUCGGGGCGGUCAUUUUUUUUAUUGGUUGAGGACGCGGGCGUGCGAACAGAGAAUCACCGAUCGUUUGCAGAAGAAUAUGACAAUUAUUUUCAGUUUUGAUUGACGUCGAGCACACUGGCCACAUGCAGGAUUUGAACUCAUAAUACCAGUGUUGACAUGCUAGUGGUACAACAUUUCGAAUUCAUAGACCAGUGAAUACCGAGUUCCCUAUGUGUCGUGUAGAGAAAUAUAUAUUAUUUUGAAGUUAUCAAAGGUACCAGAAUU
RNAcentral lists this long non-coding RNA (715 nucleotides) under Mytilus galloprovincialis (Mediterranean mussel). Lineage: Eukaryota; Metazoa; Mollusca; Bivalvia; Mytilida; Mytilidae. The record is from RNAcentral.